Molecule: long non-coding RNA, 765 nt
Organism: Oncorhynchus tshawytscha (Chinook salmon)
Lineage: Eukaryota; Metazoa; Chordata; Actinopteri; Salmoniformes; Salmonidae
Source: Ensembl
AACAUCAGGACAGGGUGGAGUUCCACCACAGAGGACAGCACAGGGCUGGACAACAUCAGGACAGGGUGGAGUUCCACCACAGAGGACAGCACAGGGCUGGACAACAUCAGGACAGGGUGGGAGGUCCACCACAGAGGACAGCACAGGACUGGACAACAUCAGGACAGGGUGGGAGUUCCACCACAGAGGACAGCACAGGGCUGGACAACAUCAGGACAGGGUGGGAGGUCCACCACAGAGGACAGCACAGGGCUGGACAACAUCAGGACAGGGUGGGAGUUCCACCACAGAGGACAGCACAGGGCUGGACAACAUCAGGACAGGGUGGAGUUCCACCACAGAGGACAGCACAGGGCUGGACAACAUCAGGACAGGGUGGAGUUCCACCACAGAGGACAGCACAGGGCUGGACAACAUCAGGACAGGGUGGAGUUCCACCACAGACGACAGCACAGGGCUGGACAACAUCAGGACAGGGUGGAGUUCCACCACAGAGGCUGCACAGCAGGAGAUCCUGAGGAGAUGGUUCUCUUGGAUGUGUGUGGCUCGUUUGGUUUAUGGUUAUAAUGGUCCACACAGGGCAGACCACAAUCCACACUGGACCACAAAUCUCCUGGAAUCUCUGUCCAUGUCAGGAGAAUACCAGCCCCAAACUGUUUCAUAUUAUCUUGAAUCUGAGGAUAGUAACAUUUAUUGUUUUGAAACUUCUGUAUGUGUAAUGUUUACUGUAAAUGUGAUUGUUUAUUUCACUUUUGUAUAUUUACC